Molecule: long non-coding RNA, 495 nt
Filed under: Rattus norvegicus (Norway rat)
Lineage: Eukaryota; Metazoa; Chordata; Mammalia; Rodentia; Muridae
Description: long non-coding RNA NONRATT017832
Source: RNAcentral
GGGAAACUCAUCCAUUCUAACCACUGCCUCAUGGCCGCUUACGUGCACCUCAUGCCCGCCCUGGCCCAGCGCCGCAUGGCAGACGAGGCUGCCUCGGCCGUGCCAGGUGUUCCUGCAGAACAGCCCAGAGACUCGCCAUGAGGCAGCUAGCUAGCUGUCCCUGACCGCAGGAGAGAAGGUGGUUUUGCUGUGGGCACAUUGGUCUUCAAUACGAUCCUCCUGUCUCAGCCUCCCAGGUACUGGAAUUACAGACAUGGGCUACAACUGGUUGCUAGAUAAUUCUUUAGGAAUAUAAAAAUUGCUGACCAGAAGCUUCCCUACAGAGUGACCUGUCUACAUGAUUAAUUUCACUCCUUGACAAGUACAAACGUGAGUAGAGCAGCUUGUGAACUUAAUUCCCCAAACCAGGAAGGUGGAGACCUAGGAUAUUGUGUGGCUGCUGAAAGAGCUCUACAUCAGCAUCUGUAUGUAUCCCUUCAAUAAACAUGUGCUGUG